This 714-nucleotide ribosomal RNA is filed under the name uncultured bacterium. RNAcentral's name for it is "bacterial SSU rRNA". It matches the Rfam family "Bacterial small subunit ribosomal RNA", at positions 122 to 823 of the family's 1533-position model. The record is from RNAcentral.
UAACCUGCCCAAGAGACUGGGAUAACACCUGGAAACAGAUGCUAAUACCGGAUAACAACACUAGACGCAUGUCUAGAGUUUGAAAGAUGGUUCUGCUAUCACUCUUGGAUGGACCUGCGGUGCAUUAGCUAGUUGGUAAGGUAACGGCUUACCAAGGCAAUGAUGCAUAGCCGAGUUGAGAGACUGAUCGGCCACAUUGGGACUGAGACACGGCCCAAACUCCUACGGGAGGCAGCAGUAGGGAAUCUUCCACAAUGGACGAAAGUCUGAUGGAGCAACGCCGCGUGAGUGAAGAAGGGUUUCGGCUCGUAAAGCUCUGUUGGUAGUGAAGAAAGAUAGAGGUAGUAACUGGCCUUUAUUUGACGGUAAUUACUUAGAAAGUCACGGCUAACUACGUGCCAGCAGCCGCGGUAAUACGUAGGUGGCAAGCGUUGUCCGGAUUUAUUGGGCGUAAAGCGAGUGCAGGCGGUUCAAUAAGUCUGAUGUGAAAGCCUUCGGCUCAACCGGAGAAUUGCAUCAGAAACUGUUGAACUUGAGUGCAGAAGAGGAGAGUGGAACUCCAUGUGUAGCGGUGGAAUGCGUAGAUAUAUGGAAGAACACCAGUGGCGAAGGCGGCUCUCUGGUCUGCAACUGACGCUGAGGCUCGAAAGCAUGGGUAGCGAACAGGAUUAGAUACCCUGGUAGUCCAUGCCGUAAACGAUGAGUGCUAAGUGU